GAGGAGAAAAGACCAAGAGAAACACCAAUGUCUGCAAAGUAAAAUUUCUUCAUUAAAAUAACAGUGAGCCACAAUUUUCUGGCAGUAAUUGGAGGUAUUUGACAGUGGAGCCCGAAAGGGAGAGAUUCAGGCAGUUGGGAACAGGCCAGAGAAGAGAGCAUUUUAAAAAAGAAUUGCUGAAACAAGCUAUUACUGAACGUCUGGGUUUCUGUUUGCCCGAAUACUCAUUACUUAUUAAGAAACUGCUCUGUCACUUUUUGGAAAGAGGAAAGAAGUGGGAAUAUGGAGAAUAAGAGAGAGAAGAAGAGCUUUGAAAGGUCAAGAGUAUUCUUGAGGACAGGAAAAAAUAAUUACUGUACAUUAAAAAAUAGUAAUCUUCUUUUUUGCUGGAAAAACAAAUCUUUUCAAAUUUCAAUUUGUCAAAAAUUACCUGACUUCUAGAACAUGCAAUUCAUUAACUCACUCCAUACCAAUAAGUUGAACAACUACAACAUCUAAAGAUUCAGAAAGACCGUGCAUCAUCUUAGUUUUUGUCAGAGGGGGUAUUUCUUUCAAACAACACAGUCAGUUGUUCCAUGUUCUAAAAGACUGUUCUUUCACUUUACUUUUAAUUCUAACAUAUCUGCUUUUUAUUUAGCAUCCAGAGAGAACCUUUGUUCCCUACAACAGGCAACAAUCCUGUUGCUAUAUCUGAUGAGAAACUUGUUAAGAGCAAAAAGCAAAGGAAGAGCUGAUGGAUUUGGAAAUUCAGGGCUUUCUGAGAAUUAGCAAUAGAAGAGCUGCAGAUGAAGCCCCUUGUGUAAGGGAAACCAACUGGAUAAGUGGUGGCUGAGAAAGAAAU
Molecule: long non-coding RNA, 841 nt
Organism: Tympanuchus pallidicinctus (lesser prairie-chicken)
Lineage: Eukaryota; Metazoa; Chordata; Aves; Galliformes; Phasianidae
Exons: 3
Source: RefSeq, a predicted model, not a curated record